Molecule: ribosomal RNA, 467 nt
Filed under: uncultured bacterium
Lineage: Bacteria
Description: partial 16S ribosomal RNA
Rfam family: Bacterial small subunit ribosomal RNA
Source: RNAcentral
GACGAACGCUGGCGGCGUGCUUAACACAUGCAAGUCGAACGGAAAGGCCCUGCUUUUGUGGGGUGCUCGAGUGGCGAACGGGUGAGUAACACGUGAGUAACCUGCCCUUGACUUUGGGAUAACUUCAGGAAACUGGGGCUAAUACCGGAUAGGAGCUCCUGCUGCAUGGUGGGGGUUGGAAAGUUUCGGCGGUUGGGGAUGGACUCGCGGCUUAUCAGCUUGUUGGUGGGGUAGGGGCUUACCAAGGCUUUGACGGGUAGCCGGCCUGAGAGGGUGACCGGCCACAUUGGGACUGAGAUACGGCCCAGACUCCUACGGGAGGCAGCAGUGGGGAAUAUUGCACAAUGGGCGGAAGCCUGAUGCAGCAACGCCGCGUGCGGGAUGACGGCCUUCGGGUUGUAAACCGCUUUCGCCUGUGACGAAGCGUGAGUGACGGUAAUGGGUAAAGAAGCACCGGCUAACUACGU